AUGGUGCGUAGCGGUACGAGUCGAGGUAGUACAGGAAGUACAGGCGGAGGCAAGCGAUAUAAAUAUGGUCCAAGCCUCACGCCUCUUCCGCAGAGGGCUUAUGACAGGUCCGAGGAGGAAAUCGCAGCCAUAUCGAAGUCCGAGGUGGAAGCCCAUUUUGCACCGAAACCGCCACCGCCGCCAAGGGAGAAAGUGCCUGAGGAAAUGAUUGACCACUUCAUUCGUAUGGCUCAACCACCAGCUCCCAAGCCUGUUGACACAAACUAUGAGCGCCACAUCAGGAAGUUAAAUCGAGCACGUCUACGUAAGGAGGCGAGCUCGGGAUCGAGCAAACAAGAAGCAGCUGUCAAAAAAUGCGGGAAAACCAUUUCCCAGCUGGGAGAACAGGCGGCGCAAUCGAUUCCCUCGCUUGUUGUGCCAACAACAUAUGACAGUACGCGCGCCCAAUAUUAUUGUGGGCAAAUAGUUUAUGUUCCUGAGGUGGGCAAUGUGGUAAUAACGAAGGAGCAUAUAAUGCAGGCUGAAGUUCUCAAAAUCACUGUUGGACAACUCCUUGAGAUCGAGCCCAUGUCUGUGCUUAGAGAGGAUGAAAUAAAACGGAAAUAUGUCAGGGGCCAACCUUUGGUCGAGCCAGACAAGGUCAAGAACCUCCCAACGUGA
This 660-nucleotide ribosomal RNA is filed under the name Triticum aestivum (bread wheat). RNAcentral describes it as "partial small subunit ribosomal RNA". Lineage: Eukaryota; Viridiplantae; Streptophyta; Magnoliopsida; Poales; Poaceae. The record is from RNAcentral.